This 309-nucleotide small RNA is filed under the name uncultured bacterium. RNAcentral's name for it is "bacterial SSU rRNA". It matches the Rfam family "Bacterial small subunit ribosomal RNA", at positions 69 to 353 of the family's 1533-position model. The record is from RNAcentral.
GAAUUCCGGGGCAACUCGGAUAGUACAGUGGCGUAAGGGUGAGGAAUACAUGGGUAACGUACCCUGGGCACGAGGAUAGCCCGCCGAAAGGCGGGGUAAUACUCGAUGAGACCACAGUGUCACAUGACACAGAGGUCAAAGGGCGGGGAUCCCUUCGGGGACCUGUUGGCCUGGGAGCGGCCCAUGUCCUAUCAGCUAGUUGGUGAGGUAACGGCCCACCAAGGCUGGGACGGGUACCGGGGCUGAGAGGUCGGCCCGGCACAUUGGCACUGAGACACUGGCCAGAGUACCUACGGGAGGCAGCAUGUG